Octopus sinensis (East Asian common octopus) is the source of this 461-nucleotide long non-coding RNA. RefSeq lists it as uncharacterized. The transcript has 4 exons. NCBI's taxonomy places the organism in Eukaryota, Metazoa, Mollusca, Cephalopoda, Octopoda, Octopodidae. The record is from RefSeq and is a predicted model, not a curated record.
GAAUGUUAUAACGUCGGAUACAAUGACUCAUGGCAUUCGCUUCGGAUGUCUGCAAUCUGAUUUCAAAUCAUGACUAGUCUUAUACGCCAUUCUUUCGAAUUUCUGGAGCGGAUACAAGUUGAUAAGGCUUCGCAUCGAUGGAGCAAAAGGAAAUAAGAAGGAAGAACAGGAAGAACAGAAUUGUCAACAUCUUAAUGAAACAGCCUCUUGAAUGUAUGAUGCUUGAAUUGGAAAGUUGAAAAUGAAAUUGGAUUCCUUUGAUUUCAAAGUCUGCAAUUUUUGACAAUGUCUACAUUUCCUAAACAAUAAAUUACAUUGUAUCGGUGACUGUUCUGUUAUACAGAGGCGGAUUCUGGACUCCAGAAAAUUUGUCUAGAUUAUCUGAGAAUGUAAUGUCGAGUGUUUUAGAUGAUGUGACGACUAUUGUUCGCAGAGACUGAAGUGAGUAUUAUUUAGAGGAU